GUGGGACGCUAGGUACCGAGUGGUUU
Molecule: non-coding RNA, 26 nt
Filed under: Cricetulus griseus (Chinese hamster)
Lineage: Eukaryota; Metazoa; Chordata; Mammalia; Rodentia; Cricetidae
Source: RNAcentral